CUUGUCAAAUGUGUGAACUUGGGCGGCGAAAUGCUUAGUAAUACGGUCCAUAUAUCACAACCUCUGGGAAAUCCUUGUCAAAUAUGUGAACUUGGGCGGCGAAAUGUUUAGUGAUACGGCCCAUAUAUCACAACCUCUGCGAAAUCCUUGUCAAAUAUGUGAACUUGGGCGGCGAAAUGCUUAGUAAUACGGUCCAUAUAUCACAACCUCUGGGAAAUCUUUGUCAAAUGUGUGAACUUGGGCGGCGAAAUGUUUAGUGAUACGGCCCAUAUAUCACAACCUCUGGGAAAUCCUUGUCAAAUAUGUGAACUUGGGCGGCGAAAUGUUCAGUAAUACGGCCCAUAUAUCACAACCUCUGGGAAAGCCUUGUCAAAUAUGUGAACUUGGGCGGCGAAAUGCUUAGUAAUACGGCCCAUAUAUCACAACCUCUGCGAAAGCCUUGUCAAAUGUGGAUGUGAAGACCCCGAAGUGUUUGGGAAUAGGAGACCAGGAAGAGACGAAAGGAAGGGACUGGUGAAGAAAAGGAAGGAAGGAAGGAAGGAAGAUGAAGUAACGGAAAGAAGAAAGAAAAUGAUAAGAAAAGGGGGUGAAGGAUAGGAGAGAGAAGGACAAGGAGGGUGAUAGAAGCGGUAAAUAUGAAAAAAAACAAGAUUACAAGAAGAAUAAAAGAAGAAAACAAAAAGAAUAACGAAAGAAGAAAUAGAUAAGAAGAAGAAAAGAAGGUGAAGGAAAGGAGAGAGAGGGACAAGGAGGUUGGCAGAGGCGGUAAAUAUGAAAAAAAACAAGAUUACAAGAAAAAUAAAAGAAGAAAACAAAAAGAAUAACGAAAGCAGAAAUAGAUAAGAGGAAGAAAAGACGGUGAAGGAAAGGAGAGAGAGGGACAGGGAGGGUGAUAAAAGGUAGUGGGGAUGAAAACACGAAACCAAGAAAAUUAUAACAGGAAGAAUAAAAGAAGAAAACAAAAAAGACUAACGAAAGAAGAAUGCUACUAUGAGAUCACUAUCAUCAUAAUUAUCCCCAGUAGCAAGGUGGGUGGGCGUGGCAGGAGUGGUGGCGAUGGUGAUGGUGAUGGUGGUGGUGGUGGUGGUGGGUGGGUUUCCUAGCUCAUCAUCAUUUACAACCACCACCACCACCACCACCACCACCACCCACUGAGAUAGGAGAGGUAAAACAAUGGAAAAGGAGAAUAGGGAAGAUAGGUUAGACUUUGGGUGUGGCGGUGGUGGUGGUGGUGGUGGUGGUGAUAUAGUGGAGGUGAGUGACCCUAGAUAUUAUGUCCUCCUCCUCCUCCUCCUCCUCCUCCUCCUCCUGAAGGCCAAGGCUCCCGAGGCUCAGUGCAAAAAGUUAAAUGAAACACAAUACUCCGGCGGUCACCUGGAGGAGGAGGAGGAGGAGGAGGACGAAGAAGAGGAGGAAGGGUAGGAGAAGGAGGAGGCAAAGGAGAAAGAGGAAGAAGAGAAGAAAACAUAGAAACAUGGAAAGGCAGGCAACUUGACGCAUACUAACUCACUACAAGGCUGCCCACUCAGGUGCUUAAGGGGCUAUUACACUGGGCAAAUUCUCCGUGGAUCUUCAGUCAAACCACGAUUUCCGCUAGCGCGAUUCUCAUUUGUUUCUUGUUAUUGCUGCUGCUGAUGAUGAUGAGUAAUACCGUCGUCCUUCGGUGAAAUCUACCGUAGCUUUGGAAGAUCGUGGACACGUCAGAAAACCACGGAAAUAUGAGAACCACGCCAGCGGAAAUCGUGGUUUGACUGAAAAUCCACGGAAAAUUUGCCCAGUGUAAUAACCCCUUUAAUCCACUCGACAGUCACUUGGCGCCGCUGAGCAGACCACAACACCUCGGCACGCACGUUGAUUCACUCCUGUUGCAACGAAGUAAAGGUCGAUGCAACUGAUGAAGAAGUCGAUGGUUCCAGCACUUACUACUUCAGCGGGGAGGUUGUUCCAGUAUCGGAUAACUCGGUCUGAAAAGAAGCUCCUGCCAGCGUCAGUAUUUUACAUCGCCUCGCUUGAGUAGGCAGACCACUGUUUCUAGUUCUUUUAGCGUUGGUUUGUACCUCGAAAAACUUGUAGUGGUUGACAUUACUGAACUACCACUCCACUCUCCACCACAGAGGGAGAGAAAGAUCUGGGGACUUUAAUUAUGUUACCAGGCUACCAGUGAAGGCGAAAUCCAUUACCAAUCGCAGCGGACGGAGUAAGCGGAUCGAGACGCUUGUGUGUGGCGGGGUGAAGUUACCAGUUGACGAGGUGGAUGAAAAAGAGGAAAUGUUUGUGGAAGGAGCAACAGAUGAUACAGAAUUGAAGGGGCGAAGGUGACAGUUGACGAGGUGGAUGAAAAAGAGGAAAUGUGUGUGGAAGGAGCAACAGAAGAUAGAGAAUUGAAGAGAGGAAGUUGGCAGUUGAUGAGGUGGAUGAAAAAGAGGAAAUGUGUGUGGAAGGAGCAGCAGAAGAUAGAGAAUUGAAGAGAGGAAGGAGAAUGAAAAAAGGAAGUAUAAAAAAAAUAGAAAACAAAAUAAAACAGAGGAAAACGAAAAAUAAGUAAAAAAAAGUUAAAAAAUAGCAGAGAGAGAGAGAGAGAGAGAGAGAGAGAGAGAGAGAGAGAGAGAGAGGAUUUAGCUAAGAGUUACAACAUAAGUCGGGACAAGAAAAGCCUGAAGAUAUUUUUAGAGACUUUGGAGAGAGAGAGAGAGAGAGAGAGAGAGAGAGAGAGAGAGAGAGAGAGAGAGAGAGAGAGAGAGAGAGAGAGAGAGAGAGAGAGAGAGACGGCAGAUUAUGUGAACGAGGAAAUAUAAAAAAACAAACAAAAAAAGGUAAGAUAAGAAAAUUAAAAAACAAACAAAAAAAACAUGUACAAAAAUAAAGAUAAAGAAGAUAAAUAAAAUAGAAAAAAGUUAACAAAAAGGAAGAAGUUAACGAACAAAUAAAUGAAGGAAAGAAGAAGAAAAUGGAAAUGGAAAGAAGAGACGAGAAGCAAGGAGAGAAGAGGAGAGGAAAAAAAGUAGAAACAGAGAAGGAAGAAAAAAUGGGAAAAGAAGGAAGAGAAAGAAAGGAAGAGAAAGGGAGGAAAGGGAAGGGAAGAAACAGGAAGAAGAAAGAAGAAGAGAAAAUGGGAGGAAAAGAAAGAAAGGAUGAAAGGAAAAGAGAUAAAAAUGAAGAAGAGAAGGAUAUAAAAAAAGAAGAAAGCAAGGGAGAGAGAGAACGAAAGAAGGAGGAAAAGACAAAAAUAGAAAAGGGAGGAAGGGAGCACACGAUAAAUGAAGAAGGGGAGAGAAAGAAGAAGGGAAAGACGAAGGGAGUGAAGGGAGGAAGACAUUAAUAAAGAGAAAGGGAGGGAAGGGAGAACACGAGAAAGGAAGAAAGGGAGGAAGGAAAUGAAGGGAAAGAAGAGAGGAGGAAAGAAAAAAAUAGGUACGAAAGAAAGAAAUGAACAGAAAAAGGAAAAAAAAAGCAAAUUAGUGAAAAGAAGGAGAGAGAGAGAGAGAGAGAGAGAGAGAGAGAGAGAGAGAGAGAGAGAGAGAGAGAGAGAGAGAGAGAGAGAGAGAGA
This is a long non-coding RNA of Eriocheir sinensis (Chinese mitten crab), 3547 nucleotides long. RefSeq lists it as uncharacterized. The record is from RefSeq and is a predicted model, not a curated record. Lineage: Eukaryota; Metazoa; Arthropoda; Malacostraca; Decapoda; Varunidae. The transcript is spliced from 3 exons.